GAUGAACGCUGGCGGCGUGCCUAAUACAUGCAAGUCGAGCGAACAGAUGAUGAGCUUGCUCCUCUGACGUUAGCGGCGGACGGGUGAGUAACACGUGGAUAGCCUACCUAUAAGACUGGGAUAACUUCGGGAAACCGGAGCUAAUACCGGAUAAUAUAUUGAACCGCAUGGUUCAAUAGUGAAAGACGGUCUUGCUGUCACUUAUAGAUGGAUCCGCGCCGCAUUAGCUAGUUGGUAAGGUAACGGCUUACCAAGGCAACGAUGCGUAGCCGACCUGAGAGGGUGAUCGGCCACACUGGAACUGAGACACGGUCAGACUCCUACGGGAGGCAGCAGUAGGGAAUCUUCCGCAAUGGGCGAAAGCCUGACGGAGCAACGCCGCGUGAGUGAUGAAGGUCUUCGGAUCGUAAAACUCUGUUAUUAGGGAAGAACAAAUGUGUAAGUAACUAUGCACGUCUUGACGGUACCUAAUCAGAAAGCCACGGCUAACUACGUG
RNAcentral lists this ribosomal RNA (496 nucleotides) under uncultured bacterium. RNAcentral describes it as "partial 16S ribosomal RNA". It matches the Rfam family "Bacterial small subunit ribosomal RNA", at positions 28 to 507 of the family's 1533-position model. The record is from RNAcentral.